Non-coding RNA from Anaeramoeba flamelloides, 78 nucleotides. The record is from the annotation of a GenBank genome assembly. NCBI's taxonomy places the organism in Eukaryota, Anaeramoebidae.
GCUUCGUUAGCUCAGUGGUAGAGUAUUGCUGCUUAAAAACAAGCCCAAAGGUCGCGGGUUCGAAUCCUGUGCGAAGCG